AACGAACGCUGGCGGCAGGCUUCAUACAUGCAAGUCGAACGGUUAAAGCUCCUUCGGGAGUGUAUAAAGUGGCGAACGGGUUAGUAACAGGUGGAUAAUCUGCCUUUCAGAGGGGGAUAACGGCUGGAAACGGCCGCUAAUACCGCAUACGAUUGUCGGGUCUUCGGGCCGGACAAGGAAAGGGGCUUUUGCCCCGCUGAAAGAUGAGUCCGCCCCCCAUUAGCUUGUUGGUGUGAUAAAAGCGCACCAAGGCGACGAUGGGUAGCCGGACUGAGAGGUUGGCCGGCAACACUGGAACUGAGACACGGUCCAGACACCUACGGGUGGCAGCAGUAGGGAAUAUUGCGCAAUGGGCGAAAGCUUGACGCAGCCAUGCCGCGUGGAUGAUGAAGGCCUUCGGGUCGUAAAGUCCUUUUAUUGGGGAAGAACAAGGCCGGGAAGAAAAUGCCCGGCCCCUGACGGUACCCAAUGAAUAAGCAACGGCUAACUCCGUG
RNAcentral lists this ribosomal RNA (494 nucleotides) under uncultured bacterium. Its description in RNAcentral is "bacterial SSU rRNA". It matches the Rfam family "Bacterial small subunit ribosomal RNA", at positions 29 to 507 of the family's 1533-position model. The record is from RNAcentral.